Molecule: RNA transcript, 1324 nt
Organism: Camellia sinensis
Lineage: Eukaryota; Viridiplantae; Streptophyta; Magnoliopsida; Ericales; Theaceae
Gene name: Photosystem II reaction center PsbP family protein
Source: RefSeq, a predicted model, not a curated record
UACUCUUAAAAGUUGUGGAUGAAAAUAUGAGGAGAAACAGGUGUGAUGGAUGGGUGGGUGGAUGAUUGGUGGUCCGAAUGUAAUGGAUGUUGUUAUAACAGUCUCAAACCGCCAAAAACUGUAAAGAGCCAAGCAAAGCAAAAUCAAUGGCGUGUCUUCAGUCCGUAUGGUGUUUGCAUUCUUUACCUUCCACAGCAGCAGCUCCUCUUCCUCAUCCUCUUCGUCUCUUCAGUAAGUCCAAAAGGCUGCAAGUUAUCUCUUGCGGGAACAACCAUGACCUCCAUCAAAAUCCAUGUAUUGGAGUUGAGUAUCAAUCAGGAACUCAAAGGAGACAAGUAUUGUUCCAGACAGUCCUUGCUGCAUUUUCUUUUCCUCCAAUUCUUUCCCUUGCAUUGGCAGACAGCGAUACACCAGGGGAUUUCCGCCUUUACGCUGAUGAAGCGAACAAGUUCAAAAUAAUGAUUCCCCAAGAUUGGCAAGUGGGUGCAGGAGAUAAUAAUGGAGUCAAAUCAGUAACUGGAUUUUUCCCCGAUGAACCUUCUAGUUCAAAUGUCACCGUAGUAAUCACGGGCCUUGGUGCCGAUUUUACCAGAUUGGAAUCUUUUGGUAAAGUUGAUGCUUUUGCAGAGAAUCUGGUUAGCGGACUGGACAGAAGCUGGCAAAGACCACCGGGUGUGAGAGCAAAACUCAUAGACUCUAAAACUGCUAAUGGUUUGUAUUACAUUGAAUAUACACUGCAAAAUCCUGGCCAAAGUUGCAGACAUUUGAUUUCAGUGCUUGGGAUAGCGAACAAUGGUUGGUAUAACAGACUAUAUACCGUCACUGGACAGUUUGUUGAUGAGGAUUCAGAAAAAUAUGGCUCCAAAAUUGAGAAGGCUGUUUCAUCGUUCAGAUUAAACUGAGAUUCUGAGGUAAUAAUAUAUGGUUUGGAGUCCUUAUUCACUAACUUGGCAAGUGGAACUGGAUCCUUUCCAUUUUUGCUUUCAACAUCGGCUCUCAUCGCUGCAACAUGUCCAAUUGAAGUCAAGUUUACUAAAGGAAGCAAAGCAUUGAAUGAUGUUUGCAUCCUGGCCGAGGAUUUCCAUGCACCUGGAGCCAGCUGUUUGGAAGACACCAAGAGGCGGCUAGAUUGUGGCAUAUUUACUCUCUGUUUUACUUUUGUUAUUCCUAGCCUUUCUUGCAACUCUUCUUGAAGUACGCUGGAACCUUUAUUAUCUAUUUGACUAGGAAAUUUAUUCUUAAUACCACCAGAAAGAGAUAGACAAAAACUACCUUGGUGAUUGCAUUGAAUUAACAUAAAGUGCCCAAAAAUAUUUUGCUAAAA